CAAUAGCGUAUAUUAAAGCUGUUGCGGUUAAAAAGCUCGUAGUUGGAUUUCUGUCAAGGACAACUGGUCCGCCCUCCGGGUGAGCACAUAGUUUGGUCUUGACAUCUUGCUGGAAGCUGUUGCUGCACUUGGCUGUGUGGCGCAGUGUUCAGCACUUUCACUUUGAGGAAAUUGGAGUGUUUCAAGCAGGCACAUGCCUUUGGACACAGUAGCAUGGAAUAAUUAGAUUGGGCUUUUGCUCCAAUUUGUCGGUUUCUGGAGCUGAGGUGAGUAUUAAUGGGGAUUGUUGGGUGCAUCCGAAUUUAGCCGUCAGAGGUGAAAUUCUUGGAUCUGCUAAAGACGGACAACUGCGAAAGCGUUUGCCCAGGAUGUUUUCAUUGA
This 381-nucleotide ribosomal RNA is filed under the name uncultured eukaryote. RNAcentral describes it as "partial 18S ribosomal RNA". It matches the Rfam family "Eukaryotic small subunit ribosomal RNA", at positions 592 to 976 of the family's 1831-position model. The record is from RNAcentral.